This 503-nucleotide ribosomal RNA is filed under the name uncultured bacterium. Its description in RNAcentral is "partial 16S ribosomal RNA". It matches the Rfam family "Bacterial small subunit ribosomal RNA", at positions 29 to 523 of the family's 1533-position model. The record is from RNAcentral.
AACGAACGCUGGCGGCACGUUUUAAGCAUGCAAGUCGAACGGCAGUGGGGGCAACCCCAUGAGAGUGGCGAACGGGUGAGUAACACGUAGGUGAUCUGCCUUUGGGUUGGGGAUAGCUUGUGGAAACACAGGGUAAUACCGAAUGAGCUGACGAGGCUUUGGCCAUGUUAGUAAAGGUGCUACGGCACCGCCUAGAGAGGAGCCUGCGGCUGAUUAGCUAGUUGGUGGGGUAAAGGCCUACCAAGGCGACGAUCAGUAGCCGGCCUGAGAGGGUGUACGGCCACACCGGAACUGAGACACGGUCCAGACUCCUACGGGAGGCAGCAGCUAAGAAUCUUCCGCAAUGGGCGAAAGCCUGACGGAGCGAUGCCGCGUGAUCGAUGAAGGUCGAGAGAUUGUAAAGAUCUUUUCCAACUGAGGAAUAAGUGGACCAAGGAAUGGGUUCAUGAUGACGUUAAGUUGGGAAUAAGCCCCGGCUAAUUACGUGCCAGCCGCCGCAGUAA